GCCUUCAUGGUGUAGUGGUCAGCACACUCGGCGCGUAUUCGCGAGGUCUGUGGUUCGAGUCCCGGCGAAGGCA
This 73-nucleotide transfer RNA is filed under the name Stegodyphus mimosarum. It matches the Rfam family "tRNA". From Rfam's summary of the family: Transfer RNA (tRNA) molecules are approximately 80 nucleotides in length. Lineage: Eukaryota; Metazoa; Arthropoda; Arachnida; Araneae; Eresidae. The record is from Rfam by way of RNAcentral.